CUGCAGCGCGAGUGGUGAUCGAUUUUAUUGAGCCUAAAGCGUCCGUAGCCGGACUAGUAAACCCUUGGGUAAAUUGGGCAGCUUAACUGUCCAAAUUCCGAGGGGACUGCUAGUCUUGGGACCGGGAGAGGUCAGAGGUACUCAAGGGGUAGGGGCUAAAUCCUGUAAUCCUUUGGGGACCACCAGUGGCGAAGGCGUCUGACUAGAACGGAUCCGACGGUAAGGGACGAAACCCUGGGGCUCGAACCAGAUUAGAUACCCGAGUAGUCC
This 270-nucleotide ribosomal RNA is filed under the name uncultured archaeon. RNAcentral describes it as "partial 16S ribosomal RNA". It matches the Rfam family "Archaeal small subunit ribosomal RNA", at positions 477 to 747 of the family's 1478-position model. The record is from RNAcentral.